Molecule: ribosomal RNA, 188 nt
Filed under: Mantidactylus melanopleura
Lineage: Eukaryota; Metazoa; Chordata; Amphibia; Anura; Mantellidae
Description: partial 16S ribosomal RNA
Source: RNAcentral
UUGUUCUUUAAAUGGGGACUUGUAUCAACGGCACCACGAGGGUUAGACUGUCUCCUUUUUCAAAUCAGUGAAAUUAAUCUCCCCGUGAAGAAGCGGGGAUACUCAUAUAAGACGAGAAGACCCCAUGGAGCUUCAAACCCAACUACACCCCUAGCUCUUAUAGCCCCACAACCCCCCCCCUAGGCGCC